RNAcentral lists this non-coding RNA (869 nucleotides) under Actinokineospora bangkokensis. RNAcentral describes it as "Bacterial large subunit ribosomal RNA". It matches the Rfam family "Bacterial large subunit ribosomal RNA", at positions 2046 to 2912 of the family's 2925-position model. The record is from Rfam by way of RNAcentral. Lineage: Bacteria; Bacillati; Actinomycetota; Actinomycetes; Pseudonocardiales; Pseudonocardiaceae.
ACUACGAGUAAAGAUGCUCGUUACGCGCGGCAGGACGGAAAGACCCCGGGACCUUUACUAUAGCUUGGUAUUGGUGCUUGGUUCGGUUUGUGUAGGAUAGGUGGGAGACUGUGAAGCCCUCACGCCAGUGUGGGUGGAGUCAUCGUUGAAAUACCACUCUGAUCGUACUGAGUGUCUAACCUCGGACCGUGAUCCGGUUCAGGGACAGUGCCUGGUGGGUAGUUUAACUGGGGCGGUUGCCUCCCAAAGGGUAACGGAGGCGCCCAAAGGUUCCCUCAGCCUGGUUGGCAAUCAGGUGUCGAGUGCAAGUGCACAAGGGAGCUUGACUGUGAGACCGACGGGUCGAGCAGGGACGAAAGUCGGGACUAGUGAUCCGGCACUGGCUGGUGGAAGCGGUGUCGCUCAACGGAUAAAAGGUACCCCGGGGAUAACAGGCUGAUCUUGCCCAAGAGUCCAUAUCGACGGCAUGGUUUGGCACCUCGAUGUCGGCUCGUCGCAUCCUGGGGCUGGAGUAGGUCCCAAGGGUUGGGCUGUUCGCCCAUUAAAGCGGUACGCGAGCUGGGUUUAGAACGUCGUGAGACAGUUCGGUCCCUAUCCGCCGCGCGCGUUGGAGACUUGAGGAAGGCUGUCCCUAGUACGAGAGGACCGGGACGGACGAACCUCUGGUGUGCCAGUUGUCCCGCCAGGGGCAUGGCUGGUUGGCUACGUUCGGAAGGGAUAACCGCUGAAGGCAUCUAAGCGGGAAGCCUGUUCCAAGAUGAGGUCUCCCACCACCUUGAGUGGUUAAGGCCCCCAGCUAGACCACUGGGUUGAUAGGCCAGAGAUGGAAGCCCGGUAACGGGUGGAGUUGACUGGUACUAAUAGGCCGA